GCCUUCGUUGAUCAAUGGAGAUCGCCCACACACAUUGGGGAGCAACAGUUAUACUCUGGGUGGGCGGAGGGGGUUCGACUCCCCCCGAAGGCA
Molecule: non-coding RNA, 93 nt
Organism: Mycena vulgaris
Lineage: Eukaryota; Fungi; Basidiomycota; Agaricomycetes; Agaricales; Mycenaceae
Source: the annotation of a GenBank genome assembly